This is a long non-coding RNA of Ictalurus punctatus (channel catfish), 1435 nucleotides long. The record is from Ensembl. Lineage: Eukaryota; Metazoa; Chordata; Actinopteri; Siluriformes; Ictaluridae.
UGGACAGGAUGGUCUGAUGGUCUCAGUGGAGUAAAAUCUGUUCUGUUUCAUGUUAAACUCUGAUCAAUCAUGUGAACAUGUGUGUGUGUGUGUGUGUGUGUGUGUGAUCUGCUGCGAAGAAGCGCUACAUGAUGACAUCAUCAAAAAGCGCCAAAUGAACACAUGCACAGUCAUCAGUCUGUUUCUGUCCUUUAUAAGUCCAGGUCAUGCAGAGGUUACAAGUGGACAUGAGGAGUACGGCCUGUCAUUACAUACUGACAUACUCUCUGUCUGUCUCUCUGCCUGUCUGUCUCUCUGCCUGUCUGUCUCUCUGCCUGUCUGUCUAUCAUUUUAUCUGUCCUUUUAGCUCUGUUUGUCAAUUUUUGUUAUUGUAGAUCUGUUUGUGUGGCUGUCUUUAUGUCUUUCUGUCAUCUUUUAUGUCCAUUUUUGUUACAGUGUCUGUCACUUACUCUGUCUCUGUCCAUCCAUCGUCUUGUCUUUCGACUGAAGUUAUGCUGUUUUGUCUGUCUGUCCAAACGGUCUGUAUCUGUCCGUAUCAUUAUUAUUAGUAUGAUUACUCUUAUUAUUCUUAUGGAUAAACAAAUCUGAAACCAUAUCGAUCCAUCUAUCUAUCUAUCUAUCUAUCUAUCUAUCUGUCUAUCUAUCUAUCUGUCUAUCUAUCUAUCUAUCUAUCUGUCUAUCUAUCUAUCUGUCUAUCUAUCUAUCUGUCUAUCUAUCUAUCUAUCUAUCUAUCUAUCUAUCUAUCUAUCUGUCCAUCUAUCUGUCUAUCUAUCUAUCUGUCUAUCCAUCCAUCCAUCCAUCCAUCCAUCUAUCUAUCUAUCUAUCUAUCUAUCUAUCUAUCUAUCUAUCUAUCUGUCUAUCUAUCUAUCUAUCUAUCUGUCUAUCUAUCUAUCUAACUGGAGUGUAAAAGCUUCAGUAAACCUCGACUUGGCUCCAGAUUGGCCUGUAAGGCGAGAAUCUCCCAAAACUCUGUGACCUCUGACCUCUCACAGUCUUUAGCCUUGACUUCACUCUGUCAACAUGGCAGUAAGUAUUGUUCUGUUUGACAGAGAGCAAAUUAAACACCACCCUGAGCCCUCGUCUCUCCCUCCCUCCCUCCUUCUCUCUCUCUCCCUCUCCCCAUCUAUCUCUGCUAAUUCAAUAUUCUCAAAAGGUUUUUUUUUUUACUCUUACACUGAAAAUCCGGUAUCGUAACUUUAAAACAAACCCUUUCCCCUAAUAUCAUCUCUAUUUUAUCCCUUCACCAGAUAUUUAUUUAUUUGCUUGUUUUGUACUCGUUUGCUGCAAUCGGUUGCUGAUCCUCGCCACUUUGCAUGCGCAGUGUGCGUCUGGAGUAUUUUACUUCAUUAGCCAAAUCAAUUAAUUGCCUUCCCGUUACGCAAACUACCCAGAAAGCCCGGAGCAGCCGUCUAUUGAGGCAGCGAGGAGGCUCGAA